RNAcentral lists this ribosomal RNA (497 nucleotides) under uncultured bacterium. RNAcentral's name for it is "partial 16S ribosomal RNA". It matches the Rfam family "Bacterial small subunit ribosomal RNA", at positions 28 to 507 of the family's 1533-position model. The record is from RNAcentral.
GAUGAACGCUGGCGGCGUGCCUAAUACAUGCAAGUCGAGCGAACAGACGAGGAGCUUGCUCCUCUGACGUUAGCGGCGGACGGGUGAGUAACACGUGGAUAACCUACCUAUAAGACUGGGAUAACUUCGGGAAACCGGAGCUAAUACCGGAUAAUAUAUUGAACCGCAUGGUUCAAUAGUGAAAGACGGUUUUGCUGUCACUUAUAGAUGGAUCCGCGCCGCAUUAGCUAGUUGGUAAGGUAACGGCUUACCAAGGCAACGAUGCGUAGCCGACCUGAGAGGGUGAUCGGCCACACUGGAACUGAGACACGGUCCAGACUCCUACGGGAGGCAGCAGUAGGGAAUCUUCCGCAAUGGGCGAAAGCCUGACGGAGCAACGCCGCGUGAGUGAUGAAGGUCUUCGGAUCGUAAAACUCUGUUAUUAGGGGAGAACAAAUGUGUAAGUAACUAUGCACGUCUUGACGGUACCUGAUCAAAAAGCCACGGCUAACUACGUG